This 957-nucleotide non-coding RNA is filed under the name Trichomonas vaginalis G3. RNAcentral's name for it is "Eukaryotic large subunit ribosomal RNA". It matches the Rfam family "Eukaryotic large subunit ribosomal RNA", at positions 2290 to 3401 of the family's 3401-position model. Lineage: Eukaryota; Parabasalia; Trichomonadida; Trichomonadidae. The record is from Rfam by way of RNAcentral.
CCUCGUCACUUAAUUUAGUGACCUGCAAUGAACGGAGCUAUGAGGUUCUCACUGUCCCAAACUGUCUCUCAGCGAACCAACUGUAGUGGGAACGGUCACUAGAUAUCCAGCGGGGAAAGAAGACCCUGUAGAGCUUCACUUUGGUCUAGUCUUGUAUAGUUCCUGCGGGGGUGUAGACUAGGUGGGAGAGCAAUCGAUUCUGAAAAACCACUACCCUGUUUGGAAUUAUGCUUACCUAUCACAAGGAAUAGGACUAGAUAGAAAGUUUGGCUGGGGCGGCACACCUUCGAAAGAGCAGCGAAGGUGUCCUAAGUUGAGCUCAGUGAGGACAGAAAUCUCACGUUGAGGAUAAGGCCAAAAGCUCAAUUUACUGUGCCUUUUUGUACUAGGAUCAGUUACGAAAGUAAGGCCUAACGAUCCCUAAAUAGCCUCAGGUGCGUGAGGAUUGGGGUGACAGACAAGUUACCUCCGGGACAACUGGCUUGUGGCUGCUAAGAGAUCAAAUCAACGCAGCUUUUUGAUUCUUCGAUGUCGGCUCUUCCUAUCCUAGUGAUGUACAAGUUGCUAAGGGUCGGAUUGUUCACCCGUAUUAGGGAUCGUGAGCUGGGUUUAGACCGUCGUGAGCCAGGUUUGUUUUAUCCUACUGGAUAUAGCAUCAUGAUAGUAGAUUGAUUUAGUACGAGAGGAACUGUUGAUUAUGGCCUCUGGUUAGCGAUUAUCGGAAACGGUAUGUCGCGCAGCUACGCCGUCUGGGAUAAUGGCUGAAAGCCUCUUAAGCCAGAAGCCCAUCUAGAAAGUGAUGCACGUGAUGUUGGACCGAUACGAAUAAUCAUACUCAAAAGGUCCGCUUCAUAGGUAACCCAAUGUAGAAGACAUUGUGUGAACGAAGGUACUGUAAGCAGUGGAGUGGCAUUACGUCCACGACCUGUUGAGGUUCAGCUUCGCUUCUAGGUUUCC